RNAcentral lists this ribosomal RNA (682 nucleotides) under Lachnospiraceae bacterium. RNAcentral describes it as "partial 23S ribosomal RNA". It matches the Rfam family "Bacterial large subunit ribosomal RNA", at positions 1585 to 2284 of the family's 2925-position model. The record is from RNAcentral. Lineage: Bacteria; Bacillati; Bacillota; Clostridia; Lachnospirales; Lachnospiraceae.
UGAUAGUACAGGUAAUCAUACUUCCAAGAAAAUCCGCUAAGCUUAAUGUUUGAGCAACCCGUACCGUAAUCGGACACACGUAGUCGGGUAGAACAUACUAAGGCGUUGAGAGAUUCAUGGUUAAGGAACUAGGCAAAUUGACCCCGUAACUUCGGAAUAAGGGGUCCUCAUUUAUAAUGAGGCGCAGAGAAUAGGUCCAGGCAACUGUUUAACAAAAACACAGGGCUGUGCUAACUCGAAAGAUGAUGUAUACAGCCUGACACCUGCCCGGUGCUGGAAGGUUAAGAGGAGAGCUUAGAUGUAUGUCGACGGUUUGAAUUGAAGCCCCAGUAAACGGCGGCCGUAACUAUAACGGUCCUAAGGUAGCGAAAUUCCUUGUCGGGUAAGUUCCGACCUGCACGAAUGGUGUAAUGAUCCGGACGCUGUCUCAACCAUGAUCUCAGUGAAAUUGUAGUAUCGGUGAAGAUGCCGAUUACCCGCGAUGGGACGAAAAGACCCCGUGAACCUUUACUACAGCUUAGCAUUGACCUUGGUCAUCCGAUGUGUAGGAUAGGCCGGAGGCUUCGAAGCGGGUGCGCCAGCAUUCGUGGAGCCAUCCUUGAAAUACGGCCCUUUGGCUGUCUGAGGUCUAACGCGCCUGAGGUGCGGACACUGCUUGGUGGGUAGUUUGACUGGGGUGGUC